UGGUGCGAUCAUACUAGCACUAAUGCACCGGAUCGCAUUAGAACUCCGCAGUUAAGCGUGCUUGGUUGAGAGUAGUACUAGGAUG
This is a non-coding RNA of Gossypium raimondii (Peruvian cotton), 85 nucleotides long. The record is from Rfam. Lineage: Eukaryota; Viridiplantae; Streptophyta; Magnoliopsida; Malvales; Malvaceae.